AUUGAACGCUGGCGGAAUGCUUUACACAUGCAAGUCGAGCGGCAGCGCGGCCUUCGGGCUGGCGGCGAGCGGCGAACGGGUGAGUAAUGCAUCGGAACAUGCCCAGUCGUGGGGGAUAACACUUCGAAAGAAGUGCUAAUACCGCAUACGUCCUGAGGGGGAAAGCGGGGGAUCGCAAGACCUCGCGCGAUUGGAGUGGCCGAUGUCAGAUUAGCUAGUUGGUGGGGUAAAGGCCUACCAAGGCGACGAUCUGUAGCUGGUCUGAGAGGAUGAUCAGCCACACUGGGACUGAGACACGGCCCAGACUCCUACGGGAGGCAGCAGUGGGGAAUUUUGGACAAUGGGGGCAACCCUGAUCCAGCCAUUCCGCGUGAGUGAAGAAGGCCUUCGGGUUGUAAAGCUCGGUCGGCAGGAACGAAACGGUGGGCUCUAACAUAGUCCGCUAAUGACGGUACCUGAAGAAGAAGCACCGGCUAACUACGUG
This 484-nucleotide ribosomal RNA is filed under the name uncultured bacterium. RNAcentral describes it as "partial 16S ribosomal RNA". It matches the Rfam family "Bacterial small subunit ribosomal RNA", at positions 29 to 507 of the family's 1533-position model. The record is from RNAcentral.